Molecule: ribosomal RNA, 445 nt
Filed under: uncultured bacterium
Lineage: Bacteria
Description: partial 16S ribosomal RNA
Rfam family: Bacterial small subunit ribosomal RNA
Source: RNAcentral
GUAGGGAAUAUUGGGCAAUGGAGGCAACUCUGACCCAGCCAUGCCGCGUGCAGGAUGACGGCCCUCUGGGUUGUAAACUGCUUUUAUACGGGAAGAAAAAAUACUACGUGUAGUAUACUGACGGUACCGUAAGAAUAAGGAUCGGCUAACUCCGUGCCAGCAGCCGCGGUAAUACGGAGGAUCCAAGCGUUGUCCGGAUUUAUUGGGUUUAAAUGGUGCGUAGGCGGAUCUUUAAGUCAGUGGUGAAAGCCUGCAGCUUAACUGUAGAAUUGCCAUUGAAACUGAAGAUCUUGAAUGUGGUUAAAGUAGGCGGAAUGUAUCAUGUAGCGGUGAAAUGCUUAGAUAUGAUACAGAACACCGAUAGCGAAGGCAGCUUGCUGAACCAUUAUUGACGCUGAGGCACGAAAGCGUGGGGAGCGAACAGGAUUAGAAACCCGAGUAGUCC